This 21-nucleotide small nuclear RNA is filed under the name Arabidopsis thaliana (thale cress). RNAcentral's name for it is "snRNA_14958". Lineage: Eukaryota; Viridiplantae; Streptophyta; Magnoliopsida; Brassicales; Brassicaceae. The record is from RNAcentral.
AUGCAGCCCCAAUCGGGCGGU